RNAcentral lists this ribosomal RNA (441 nucleotides) under uncultured bacterium. RNAcentral describes it as "partial 16S ribosomal RNA". It matches the Rfam family "Bacterial small subunit ribosomal RNA", at positions 338 to 795 of the family's 1533-position model. The record is from RNAcentral.
CCUACGGGGGGCAGCAGUGGGGGAUAUUGCACAAUGGGGGGAACCCUGAUGCAGCGACGCCGCGUGGGUGAAGGAGUGCUUCGGCAUGUAAAGCCCUAUCGGCAGGGAAGAAGCAAGACGGUACCUGACUAAGAAGCCCCGGCUAACUACGUGCCAGCAGCCGCGGUAAUACGUAGGGGGCGAGCGUUAUCCGGAUUCACUGGGUGUAAAGGGAGCGUAGACGGCCAUGCAAGCCAGGGGUGAAAGCCCGGGGCCCAACCCCGGGACUGCCCGUGGAACUGGGCGGCUAGAGUGCGGGAGGGGCAGGCGGAAUUCCUGGUGUAGCGGUGAAAUGCGUAGAUAUCAGGAGGAACACCGGCGGCGAAGGCGGCCUGCUGGACUGCGACUGACGUUGAGGCUCGAAAGCGUGGGGAGCGAACAGGAUUAGAUACCCCAGUAGUC